GACGAACGCUGGCGGCGUGCCUAAUACAUGCAAGUAGAACGCUGAAGGAGGAGCUUGCUUCUCUGGAUGAGUUGCGAACGGGUGAGUAACGCGUAGGUAACCUGCCUGGUAGCGGGGGAUAACUAUUGGAAACGAUAGCUAAUACCGCAUAAUAUUGACUAUUGCAUGAUAGUCAGUUGAAAGGUGCAACUGCACCACUACCAGAUGGACCUGCGUUGUAUUAGCUAGUUGGUGGGGUAACGGCUCACCAAGGCGACGAUACAUAGCCGACCUGAGAGGGGGAUCGGCCACACUGGGACUGAGACACGGCCCAGACUCCUACGGGAGGCAGCAGUAGGGAAUCUUCGGCAAUAGACGGAAGUCUGACCGAGCAACGCCGCGUGAGUGAAGAAGGUUUUCGGAUCGUAAAGCUCUGUUGUAAGAGAAGAACGAGUGUGAGAGUGGAAAGCUCACACUGUGACGGUAUCUUACCAGAAAGGGACGGCUAACUACGUG
This 495-nucleotide ribosomal RNA is filed under the name uncultured bacterium. RNAcentral's name for it is "partial 16S ribosomal RNA". It matches the Rfam family "Bacterial small subunit ribosomal RNA", at positions 28 to 507 of the family's 1533-position model. The record is from RNAcentral.